RNAcentral lists this ribosomal RNA (478 nucleotides) under uncultured bacterium. RNAcentral describes it as "partial 16S ribosomal RNA". It matches the Rfam family "Bacterial small subunit ribosomal RNA", at positions 28 to 507 of the family's 1533-position model. The record is from RNAcentral.
GAUGAACGCUGGCGGCGUGCUUAACACAUGCAAGUCGAGCGAGAAGUUUUGAACAGAUUCUUCGGGUGAAAUUUAAAAUGGAAAGCGGCGGACGGGUGAGUAACGCGUAGGCAACCUGCCCCAUACAAAGGGAUAGCAUUUGGAAACGAAUAUUAAUACCUUAUGAAACUUAACUAGUGCAUGCUAGGUAGGUCAAAGAUUUAUCGGUAUGGGAUGGGCCUGCGUCUGAUUAGCUAGUUGGUGAGGUAACGGCUCACCAAGGCGACGAUCAGUAGCCGACCUGAGAGGGUGAACGGCCACAUUGGAACUGAGACACGGUCCAAACUCCUACGGGAGGCAGCAGUGGGGAAUAUCGCACAAUGGGGGAAACCCUGAUGCAGCAACGCCGCGUGAACGAUGAAGGCCUUUGGGUCGUAAAGUUCUGUUCUAGGUGAUGAAAACUGACAGUAACCUAGAGAAAGCCCCGGCUAACUCCGUG